UGGGGAAUUUUGCACAAUGGGGGAAACCCUGAUGCAGCGACGCCGCGUGAUUUAGAAGGCCUUCGGGUUGUAAAAAUCUUUUCUAUGGGAAGAAAAUGACAGUACCAUAGGAAUAAGGACCGGCUAAUUACGUGCCAGCAGCCGCGGUAAUACGUAAGGUCCGAGCGUUGUCCGGAAUCAUGGGGCGUAAAGGGUACGUAGGCGGGUAAGCAAGUUAGAAGUGAAAUCCUAUAGCUCAACUAUAGUAAGCUUUUAAAACUGCUCAUCUUGAGGUAUGGAAGGGAAAGUGGAAUUCCUAGUGUAGCGGUGAAAUGCGCAGAUAUUAGGAGGAGUACCGGUGGCGAAGGAGACUUUCUGGCCAUAACCUGACGCUGAGGUACGAAAGCGUGGGUAGCAAACAGG
Molecule: ribosomal RNA, 402 nt
Filed under: bacterium
Lineage: Bacteria
Description: partial 16S ribosomal RNA
Rfam family: Bacterial small subunit ribosomal RNA
Source: RNAcentral